This 462-nucleotide ribosomal RNA is filed under the name uncultured bacterium. RNAcentral describes it as "partial 16S ribosomal RNA". It matches the Rfam family "Bacterial small subunit ribosomal RNA", at positions 36 to 507 of the family's 1533-position model. The record is from RNAcentral.
GCCUCCCUCUUUCCUCGUGCUUCCCCCCUGCACGUCGAGCGGAAAGGCCCUUCGGGGUCCUCGAGCGGCGAACGGGUGAGUAACACGUGAGUAACCUGCCCUAGGCUUUGGGAUAACCCCGGGAAACCGGGGCUAAUACCGGAUAUGACCUGGUGCCGCAUGGUGUUGGGUGGAAAGUUUUUUCGGCCUGGGAUGGGCUCGCGGCCUAUCAGCUUGUUGGUGGGGUGAUGGCCUACCAAGGCGAUGACGGGUCGCCGGCCUGAGAGGGCGACCGGCCACACUGGGACUGAGACACGGCCCAGACUCCUACGGGAGGCAGCAGUGGGGAAUAUUGCACAAUGGGCGGAAGCCUGAUGCAGCGACGCCGUGUGAGGGAUGAAGGCCGUCGGGUUGUAAACCUCUUUCAGCAGGGACGAAGCGUGAGUGACGGUACCUGCAGAAGAAGCGCCGGCCAACUACGUG